RNAcentral lists this ribosomal RNA (422 nucleotides) under uncultured Gigasporaceae. RNAcentral describes it as "SSU rRNA". It matches the Rfam family "Eukaryotic small subunit ribosomal RNA", at positions 459 to 886 of the family's 1831-position model. The record is from RNAcentral. Lineage: Eukaryota; Fungi; Glomeromycota; Glomeromycetes; Diversisporales; Gigasporaceae.
GGGAGGUAGUGACAAUAAAUAACAAUACAGGGCUCUUACGGGUCUUGUAAUUGGAAUGAGUACAAUUUAAAUCUCUUAACGAGGAACAAUUGGAGGGCAAGUCUGGUGCCAGCAGCCGCGGUAAUUCCAGCUCCAAUAGCGUAUAUUAAAGUUGUUGCAGUUAAAAAGCUCGUAGUUGAAUUUCGGGGUUCUUCCGUUGGUCAGGCUAACAAGUCUGUACUAGCGUGUAGAAUCUCUACCUUCUGGGGAACCAUCAUGUUAUUAAUUUAGCGUGGUGGGAAACCAGGACCUUUACCUUGAAAAAAUUAGAGUGUUCAAAGCAGGCUUACGUCUGAAUACAUUAGCAUGGAAUAAUAAAAUAGGACGGUGGUCCUGUUUUGUUGGUUUCUGAAUCACCGUAAUGAUUAAUAGGGAUAGUUGGG